This 82-nucleotide transfer RNA is filed under the name Gilliamella sp. Its description in RNAcentral is "tRNA-Leu". It matches the Rfam family "tRNA". Rfam says of the family: Transfer RNA (tRNA) molecules are approximately 80 nucleotides in length. Their secondary structure includes four short double-helical elements and three loops (D, anti-codon, and T loops). RNAcentral also lists the same sequence under 5 other names. Lineage: Bacteria; Pseudomonadati; Pseudomonadota; Gammaproteobacteria; Orbales; Orbaceae. The record is from RNAcentral.
GUGAGCAUAAUGGAAUUGGUAGAUGUGCUAGAUUCAAGGUCUAGCUUGGAAAUAUGUGCGAGUUCAAAUCUCACUGCUCGUA